Molecule: ribosomal RNA, 245 nt
Filed under: uncultured Bacillota bacterium
Lineage: Bacteria; Bacillati; Bacillota
Description: uncultured Firmicutes bacterium partial 16S ribosomal RNA
Rfam family: Bacterial small subunit ribosomal RNA
Source: RNAcentral
UACGUAGGGGGCGAGCGUUGUCCGGAAUGAUUGGGCGUAAAGGGCGUGUAGGCGGUUCAUUAAGUCUGAAGUGAAAGUCCUUUUUUCAAGGGAGGAAUUGCUUUGGAUACUGGAGAACUAGAGUGCAGGAGAGGUUAUCGGAAUUCCCGGUGUAGCGGUGAAAUGCGUAGAGAUCGGGAGGAACACCAGUGGCGAAGGCGGGUAACUGGACUGCAACUGACGCUGAGGCGCGAAAGUGUGGGGAG